Non-coding RNA from Xenopus laevis (African clawed frog), 101 nucleotides. The record is from Rfam. Lineage: Eukaryota; Metazoa; Chordata; Amphibia; Anura; Pipidae.
GGGCUGGCCUUAUAGCUCAGCGGUUCCUUCUUGAAUUCUCGGUUUGUUACUGACUAAUCCUCUCGGGGGUUCUAAACCCGCGGGCGCUAUCCAGCCUUUUA